Long non-coding RNA from Dermochelys coriacea (leatherback sea turtle), 2145 nucleotides. RefSeq lists it as uncharacterized. NCBI's taxonomy places the organism in Eukaryota, Metazoa, Chordata, Testudines, Dermochelyidae. The record is from RefSeq and is a predicted model, not a curated record. The transcript has 2 exons.
UUUUGUACGGAAAUUCUCCAUGUUGGGUUGUGUUCUCAAUAAUGAAUUUGAGAAUAUGGGUAACGUGAUGCCUCAGAGGGGUACUGCUGUCUCAGGAAAUGCAAACUGAGCAGAGCAGGAGAGAUUGAAGCUAGUGAAAAUGGCAAUGGAAAAGAUUUUAAGGCAAUCUGGAGGAUCAGGAUUGGCUAUUAUUAUUCCAUCCUGAAAAAAAUAAGACCAGGGCACCUGAUAAUUCUGCAUUGCCCAGAACCGAUGAAAUUCUGCCCUCAGUUAAACCAUGAGCUAUGAUUUCAAUAGAAGGGGUCAGGGUGUAGCUGAGUUCAGAGUAUAACAUGGCCCUAAGUUUGACUGGUGUGAGGCACCCCUAUGCCGCAGGUGAAGUGUUGGAAAGCUGCUCCGUUCAAAAAGCACAACAGCAUUUGUUCAGAGGAAAAGAUCCUGGGUCAGAUUCUGCUUUCAGUUACACUGGUGUAAAUCUGGAGUAAUUUCACUAACAUUCAGAGGAAUUAUUCCAAAACUGUAUCAGUGUAAAGUGAGUGCAGCAUCUGGCCCAGUCUCUGUUUCCUGAAAAUGGAUGCCAUCAUGCUAAUUGAAAACAACAGACACAUUGAAAAGCAGCAAGAGGAGACACUGAUGUAGCAAUUUUCUUGUAAAAUGCCAUUUCAUUUCUCUCCUGACAGUGUAAGAGAAUUAGCCAAGCUGUACUCUAAGAACCAGAGCCUCAGCUGGUGAAAAUCAGCAUAGCUGCUGUGCUGAUUCACACCAGCUGAGGAGCUGUAUUCUAAAUACUUGUGUUUAGAACUCUGCAUAAGUUUAUGCACAGGAAAUAACAGCUAAGCUUAAAGAGAUAUUGGGCCUGAUUCUCCUCUCAUACCCAGUUAAAUCAUGAGUAAUUUCAUUUAAAUCAGUGAAAUUACACAUGUACAAAACUGGGGUGAGAGCAGAAUCUUGAAAUGCAUGUGGGCCAUAAUAAUAAUUAGUGUUUUGUGCAUCUCCAGUACUUUUUAGCUGACUUCAUGCAGGACUUUAUGCCCAUUUAACAGAUGAGGAAACUGGAGAAAAUUGGUGAAGUGACUUGCUCAAGGUAAUGCUACAAUUCAGUGGCAGUUGGGACAAGAGCAGAGAUCUCCUCUUGCCCUCAGUCCUAUUUCUAACCACUAGACACCAUUGCCUCUGGCUGCUUAAGAUAAGAUUCUCCCAGCAGGCUUCAAAUCUUAAUUGGAAAAUCCUUCUCUUUAACUGCAAGGAAAUCAGGGGUUAAUUUCAUAGAUGGAAAGGGAAAAAUCUUACCGACUUCUUCUGCAACAGCUGGUGAGGUAGCUGUCUCUGCACCUUUCCUUUUGGGGAGGACUCUGUGUUCUGUCCAGCACACUGGAGAGACACUUUCCCCCUGCCCUGCUUCUUGCUGCACCGAAUUUCCUUUGACUCACUCUUCUUUGUUGCCACAGGAAUCUUUCUACAUUAAACUGAUGGGCCUGGCAGAAGCUUCCAGUCAAUUCACUUUCACCACCACAGCAGCAGCAAGUCUUCUCUCCAGCUGUACACUCAAAGAGCAGGGCACAGGGGAAAACGCUUGAAAAGCCUGAGUUGCAACACUUUCAAUACGAAAGAAAUAAAAUUUUCAUAAAAGGGGGGUGUCUGGGCAUUAGCUCCCAAGAGUGCAAUGUCUUUGGAACAUUACAAAACAAUCCUUUGUGUGUUUCCAAACUGCUGCAGGGCAAAAGGAGAUCAAAAAAAAUUUGUCAUUAGAAUUCUUCCACCCCUCCUUCAGACACUCUGCCUUGGCUUGAUUUUGUUCAAAAUAUCCCUUAGGGAAAUAGCCAAGGCUACAGUAUUCUCUUCAGCAAAACGGCCUGGAAAGAAUUAAUAGUCUCUUCAACAGCAAGAUUCUUUUUCUGCUGAGAAUUGAAAUAUUUGUGACGCUUAUUUAAUUCAUGGCUUUAGAUUUCAGGGUUCCUGUCAUGGGGCAUCCAGUAGAUUUCAAAUUCACAGGCCUUUUGUCCCUCCAGCCAUUUGACUGACAGCCUCAGGAUGCCCUUCCAUGGCUACUGACUUCUCUGUUUGCAAAGAUAUACAGACUGAGUGUCUUCCAAUUUCCUGUAUUGUCUGCUUUCAAAUGUUGCCUUCAAAUAUUUGCAACAUGCA